RNAcentral lists this ribosomal RNA (580 nucleotides) under Phoma sp. P8E4. RNAcentral's name for it is "eukaryotic LSU rRNA". The stretch from base 210 to 362 matches the Rfam family "5.8S ribosomal RNA". The record is from RNAcentral. Lineage: Eukaryota; Fungi; Ascomycota; Dothideomycetes; Pleosporales; Didymellaceae.
UCUUGGUCAUUUAGAGGAAGUAAAAGUCGUAACAAGGUUUCCGUAGGUGAACCUGCGGAAGGAUCAUUACCUAGAGUUGUGGGCUUUGCCUGCUAUCUCUUACCCAUGUCUUUUGAGUACCUUCGUUUCCUCGGCGGGUCCGCCCGCCGAUUGGACACUUUAAACCAUUUGCAGUUGCAAUCAGCGUCCUGAAAAAACUUAAUAGUUACAACUUUCAACAACGGAUCUCUUGGUUCUGGCAUCGAUGAAGAACGCAGCGAAAUGCGAUAAGUAGUGUGAAUUGCAGAAUUCAGUGAAUCAUCGAUCUUUGAACGCACAUUGCGCCCCUUGGUAUUCCAUGGGGCAUGCCUGUUCGAGCGUCAUUUGUACCUUCAAGCUCUGCUUGGUGUUGGGUGUUUGUCUCGCCUCUGCGCGUAGACUCGCCUCAAAAGAAUUGGCAGCCGGCGUAUUGAUUUCGGAGCGCAGUACAUCUCGCGCUUUGCACUCAGAACGACGACAUCCAAAAGUACAUUUUUUACACUCUUGACCUCGGUCAGGUAGGGAUACCCGCUGAACUUAAGCAUAUCAAUAAGCGGAGGAA